UUGACCUCGGAUCAGGUAGGGAUACCCGCUGAACUUAAGCAUAUCAAUAAGCGGAGGAAAAGAAACCAACAGGGAUUGCCCCAGUAACGGCGAGUGAAGCGGC
This 103-nucleotide ribosomal RNA is filed under the name Penicillium cainii. Its description in RNAcentral is "partial 28S ribosomal RNA". It matches the Rfam family "Eukaryotic large subunit ribosomal RNA", at positions 1 to 102 of the family's 3401-position model. Lineage: Eukaryota; Fungi; Ascomycota; Eurotiomycetes; Eurotiales; Aspergillaceae. The record is from RNAcentral.